UUCUCAUUCUUUGUUUUUCAUUCAUCUACAUGCAUACUUUAACAAGUUAUGUUUUAAAAUUCAGUUAUGGGAAGCUGAUCAUGUACUUGCAGUGGUAGACGGGGGUGGAGAGUGUGAUCUGGAGAACUACAGGACACUUUGUGUUCCUUGUCAUCGUCAAGUCACGGCCGAGCAGCGCGACAGACGAAGAAGGAACAACGCAAACAACAAGUCGUUAAUGUACCGGAUAUUACGUCAUUCUUUAAAAAAGUUGAAAACAGGAGAAGGCAAGAAAAAAAGGUUUUGCAAGAGGCUCUGUGAGACAUUUUGUAGCAAUUUCUGGAUGCUUUCGAAGCAUAGCAUGAAUAGUCAUAACAACAGCCUGGCAAUAUCGAUACUGCAGUUUUGAUGAGGGUAAAUGAAGCAGAGGCAAAAGCUAAAAAUGCAGAGAUUUAAAUCAAGAUUAUUAAUGAUGAUGACAAUCCCCACCUUUUCAAUUCAUAUGUUUCAUAAAUAUAUUUAACUUAUAAAUGCCUGAUAUGAAAUGCUCCAGUAAUAUUCCUUGAUAGUUUUUAUUUGUAAUGGGCAAUUGGAUAUAACUUCACUGAUCAUUUCACAAAUUUUCCAUUCACUUGGCAAACCUAACAUAAAUAUAACAAACUUCAUUCAAUGGAAGUUUCUUGAUUUUUUUGGCCAAGCCAUUAAAUAUCUUGUUUUGGCUAAUUAUUUAAUUUGAAGUAACACAUUUUCUUA
Molecule: long non-coding RNA, 732 nt
Organism: Xenia sp. Carnegie-2017
Lineage: Eukaryota; Metazoa; Cnidaria; Anthozoa; Malacalcyonacea; Xeniidae
Exons: 2
Source: RefSeq, a predicted model, not a curated record